Molecule: long non-coding RNA, 573 nt
Filed under: Elaeis guineensis (African oil palm)
Lineage: Eukaryota; Viridiplantae; Streptophyta; Magnoliopsida; Arecales; Arecaceae
Description: long non-coding RNA (EGUI_LNC071282)
Source: RNAcentral
AUUCCUCUUUCAGUGUCCUUGCUUCUUGCAGUAGAAGUAUUCUGUCUGACUCUGAUCGGACUUGAUUUUUUUGGUCUGACUGGGCUUGGGUGCCCCAGCACUUUGCAUCCUUUUCUUGUUCUUCUUCUCUUUCUUAAAGGAUCGACAUCCACAAGAAGACCCUCCCAUAAUAUUUACUGACUCCUUAUGGAGCUAGUGAUCCUUCUCAAAAUUCUACAGUAACCCCAGCAAAUCGUGAUAGCUGAUCGCAGGCUUUGUCAUUCAAAAAAGAGUAAGGAAAGGGAGGUAGGACUUGGGUAGAGAGUUCAGAAUGGCAUCUUUCUCCAGCUGCUCAUGCAAGAAAAAGUUGAGCUUGCUUAAAUGCCCAAUCAUCUCGAUCAUAUAUAGUAUAUGAUUGGUGACGGACGCUCCUUCCCUCAUUCGAGCGUUGAAGAUGGCACAACUAGUCUUGUACCUCUCAACAUCAUCGGGUGUACUAAAGGACUCAUUCAAUAUUUGUAAUAUGUCUUGUGGUUGAGUAUUCUCGAAACAAUGGCUGAACUCAUCAUUCAUUACCACCAGCAUAAUACAAUA